UUUCCCCUUCUGUCCAUGGUGUAUCUGGUGGGGACACCGUCCAGCCCCAUUACAGAGAGUUUAUGAGAAAAUGUCCAGCCUCACGUAUCCUCACGGGCUUGGUCAUAGCACUCAAGCCAGCUCUGCAGCCGCCACGCGUGUGUGCCAGAGUGUGCUCUGGAGCGUGCAGGCUGUGUGCUGCGCUGGGACUCUUUGGACGAAUCUGACCUGUGGUUCCCACUGCACAGCGACAUGCUGGGGGAAUGCAGAACGAGGGACUAGAAUGGUCUUUACCAAGGCCACGCUUCGUUUCCAGUCGGCCAGCUUCUUGGUGGCUGGGUCUGGGAAGGGGCGGGAACACCCAGGUGUUGCAAUGCCAGGUCCAUCCAGGCACACUGCCUGGCCUGGCGUGAAUUGGACACACACUGACCCCAUGCCAGGGCACUGCUGGGCAGACUGGCUUCUCCUGCCCUGCCCAGUGGCCUGGGGUCAGGCUUGCCCUCCCACUGGGAGGCCACCCUGUGUCACAGUGUGUCCCAGAUGUCACCUUCCUCCCUGCACUUCUAUGUGCCGUUAUUCCAUUAUUUACUUAAAUGCUCUCUUUAAAUUGACGCAUUGCAAGAUUGAGAAUUUGUUUCAGUGCUUUACAAACAGCAUUUUCAGUUGCCAUGGAAAGGCUAUGCUGGUAAGGCUGGGAUGUGGGAGAGAGCUGGUAGGGACCCCUGCCCAGUGACAUGUCCAGGUGUGAUCAGGAGUGUCAGAGAGGAUGGAGACGAGGACAGUUUCUCAGGUGUGACUAGGGUAACUUAGUGCCCCCCUGAGGUUACCUCGCUCUGGCAGGAGCCUGGGCCCCUCCUCUGAGGACUCCUGCAUUUCACGUCUCUGGGCUGGGGGUCCACAGGGCACUGAUGUGUCCUGGGAUUUGAAAGCCCCAUCUAUGUCUGAGUCCAGUGGCUGAGCCAGUACUCCCUGGGGCCACUGAGAGGGGUCCGGGCAUGGUCCACUGUGUCUGGGGAUUCAGCAGCCCCUGGAUUGAACUCCAUAAAGCAAGUGCAAGAUCAAGGAAAGGACAAUGGAAGUGACCUUUAGACAAACGUUUGGGCAUCACAAUCACUGUCUUUCAUAGGGUGGCCUAGCCUUAGGUCUGUUGGGGUGGUGUUGGGGCAUGGUCUGCUGUGGACGCUGCUGCCCAGGGCAUGUUCUGCGUGUGUGGAGCUAUUGCAAGUCUGGUGUUGCCAGGCUUCUUAAUGUCUGCCAGAUGUGUGGGGAUAAUUUGUCUAUCAUGUGUGUGAUGAUGUGCAUUUUCCUGAUUUCUAAUGAAUUUGAGUAUCCAUUCUAUAAUUAUGAAGAGCUGAUGAACAGCUGUUGGUUGGCUCUAAAGCUGCCUGUGAAUAUCGUAUAUUUGUCCCCACUCUCUCUGUUUUGCAGCAGCUCUGAAAAAGGGCAGCCCCUGGACCUUGUCUAGGACCUAAACCCAGCAAGCCUCUGGUGCUGCUGGCCAGGCUCUUGUCUCUCUUGUCUCCAGUGUCCUGAGCCUUGCCUGCCUCCUCCUGGCUCUUAACUGGCUCCUCCACCCAUGUGGAAGGUUUCCUCCCUCCAGCACCAUCCUCAGAACUCAACAGUCCAGGCCCACUUCUGAUCCCAUAUCAACGACCAAGAUGAGAAAAACGGUGUUCUUUCCCUCAAAGAUCUAACAGCCUAGUGGGGUGGCAGCAGGGGGACUGACAGCUGUUCCCACAUAGCAUGUGCCAUAAACUAGAUUCAUGGGUGGAGUCAGGAAAGGCUUCACAGAGCAGGAGGUGGCUGAACUGAGUCUUGAGGGAUGAAUAGGAGUUCGCCACAUGGAUAUAGGAAGGCCUUUCAGGCAAAGGCUGUAGGUCUUUACAGAUCGUAGCUUGUUCAGAAAACCAAUCAUCCAUUCAUGCACUUAACAACCAUGUGUUGAGCACCUCCUGUGUUCCAGGCAUGGUUCUAGAUGCUGGGGACACAGCAGUGAGUAAGAAGGUCUCUGACCCCAUAGAGGGGUCAAGAGUAGAGGAGAGAGACAGACAAAGAGCAAGAAAGAUGAUCACCAAGGAAACGACACAGUAAGUUAGGUGCUACAUGCCAGGGAAGAAUGGGUGAAGGUGGCAUGGGGCUGGGGCAGAUGAGCAGUAGGAGAGCCACACAUAUAUAGAAGCUUCGAGGGAGAGACAGAGCACCUCACAGGCCAGUGGGGAUGGGCAGGCUAUCAGGGAUGGCACCGGGACAAGCAACUCCUUAUAUGGACAACAAUCAAAUUAGAUCCCUCUUCACAGUGUGAACUCUUCCUGGAACAUGCCAGGGUACUGAAAAACGAAAGCUAGUAUUUAUGCUAUAAUGUGGGCUGGCCCGUGCUGCCCAGCAGAACUCUCAGCUGCCUCUCAGCUGUCUGCGUUGUCCAGGGUGGCAGCCUCUGGCUGCUCAUGGUGCUGAAUGGCACUUGAAGUGUGGCUCAUGCAGCCAGGGAGCUGCUGAUUUAAUUGAACUGAAAUAGCUACCCUGGCCCAUGGCACCAUGUUGCACACACACCCCCAAAGGCUGGUGGUGCCCAUUUGCUGUGCAUCUGUGCACCUUCUCAUGGAAGUCUCAUUCCAUCAAACCACAUUAUGGGUUAUUUCACAGAUGCGGACACAGAGAGGGGAGGUCCCAUGUCCCAGGUCACACGCAGCCAGUCAGCAUUAGAGCUGAGAUGCCAAGCUCUCAGCCACACAUGUGCACUCACCUGGAACAUCUGUGGAGCUGUUAGAAUUGCUGCCACUUUUCAUGAAACUGAAGUGCAUCUUUGGGUUUGCAACUAAAGAAACCAGCUGCUACAAUGUCACUAACAUAGGAUUCUAAAGCCCUUCGGAUUUCUGGCAGUCUGUGCAUAGCACCCUGCCUCGGGAGUUGGCUCCUUGUCUAGUAUUUAAUACAUCCCCAAACUUGGCUUUAUUUUCAGCUGCCUUUGCCUUCAUUGUGGUGAAAGAUAGUGCGGGUGACUCAGAUGUGGUGGUGCAGGAGCUCAAGUCCAUGGUGGCCACCAAGAUCGCCAAAUAUGCUGUGCCUGAUGAGAUCCUGGUGGUGAAACGUCUUCCAAAAACCAGGUCUGGGAAGGUCAUGCGGCGGCUCCUGAGGAAGAUCAUCACUAGUGAGGCCCAGGAGCUGGGAGACACUACCACCUUGGAGGACCCCAGCAUCAUCGCAGAGAUCCUGAGUGUCUACCAGAAGUGCAAGGACAAGCAGGCUGCCGCUAAGUGAGCUGGCACCUUGUGGGGCUCUUGGGAUGGGCGGGCACCCAAGCCCUGGCUUGUCCUUCCCAGAAGGUACCCCUGAGGUUGGCAUCUUCCUACGUCCCAGAAGCAGCCCCCACCCCACACAUGACCCACACCGCCCUCACGUGAAGCUGGGCUGAGAGCCCUUUCUCCCAUCCAUUGGAGGUCCCAGGAGUGUCACCCAUGGAGAGGCUAUGCGACAUGGCUAGGGCUGGUUCUGCCAUCUGAGUUUGGUUUCCUGGAAUGAAAAGGCAUUGCCAUCUCCAUUCCUCUGCCCUCUUGAGCCAGCACAGGAAGGUGAGGCCCUGGGAUAGCGCGCCUGCUCAGAUAACACAGAGCUAGUUAGCUAGUAGCAACCGUGUUUUCUCCAGAUCUGUCUAGAUACAAAGGUCAGAAAUCUUAUUUUUAUACUUUUAUAUUGUGGAAGAAGAGCAUGCAACACUGACAUGUGUGGAUUUACUUGAACAUGUUCUUUUUAACAUGUAGUUAUGAAAAUCUCCUUUUUUGCCUCUACUGGUGAGGAAACAUGAGGAUCAGAGGCCACAUUUUAAAUUAUUGUUAGUGUAUUUGGAAGUCUGAAUGGGAGAUGUUUGUACCUCUGUCUGAACAGUUCCCUUGAGAACUUCCAAGCCUCCGGCAUCUUUUCCUGGUGAGUGUUUCUCCUGUGCUUGGUUGUGUAUAAUGGAGCUAACUCCUAAGCGGUGGGGUGAAUGUGGCCACCUUAGUUCUGAAGCUACUCCAGUUAUGUUCUGUUUCUUCAAGCUGUGAUCCAGAAAGAUUUUUGUGCCCCCAGAUGCCUCUUGAUAGGAGAGGCAACAUACUCCAAAUAGUUGGGUUCUUCAGGGAAGCUAUUAGAAACUCAGGUGACUUGUUAGAGCACUAACUUGGUCAGAGCCAAAUCCUGGCAAACGCUGCCUGACCUUCACUCUGUGGUUGGGGCGGUGAGAACCACUGAGGUCCAAUGAUGAGACUUGGAGGUCUGGAUCCAGUCUCUCUUUGUUUUAAUGUGACUUAGGUGCUGUCAACAUUAGCAAGAUAAUGGAAAUCACGACGCCAGUGGGUGCUUACCUCCCUGCUAGGCAUGCAGGGGCUGGCGGUUGGCAGGGGAAGGAGGCCCAGUGAGCCGGGUCCCUUAGGGGAGGGAGAGUUUGUCCUCUUUGCCCCACAGUCUACCCUUCAGGACCUUGUGGCAGUGCCAGUGUUCGGGGGGUGUCUGGGCUACUGAGUACCCACUCGGUCGUGGUUGUGCUGGCCUCUUGGGUGAGUGAGCCUGUGAUGCCCAGGAGGUGGUGUUGGCUGCAGCGCACACAAAUACUGAGUGGUGGUCUUUUGUUACAGGCUUAGCAACAAAGCUGUGCCCUGGGCAUGGGGGGCUAUAGUGUAGCUACAGUUGUGCGUUUGUGAAAUGGCUUAGCUUUCCAUGUUGCUGAGAGGAACCUGGACAUGGUCCCGGGCAUCUGAAUGAUCUGUAGGGGAGGGAGUUCAAAUAAAGCUUUAUUUUGUUCAUUUUC
RNAcentral lists this small RNA (4762 nucleotides) under Pan troglodytes (chimpanzee). RNAcentral's name for it is "processed transcript". The record is from RNAcentral. Lineage: Eukaryota; Metazoa; Chordata; Mammalia; Primates; Hominidae.